GACGAACGCUGGCGGCGUGCUUAACACAUGCAAGUCGAACGGAAAGGCCCUGCUUUUGUGGGGUGCUCGAGUGGCGAACGGGUGAGUAACACGUGAGUAACCUGCCCUUGACUUUGGGAUAACUUCAGGAAACUGGGGCUAAUACCGGAUAGGAGCUCCUGCUGCAUGGUGGGGGUUGGAAAGUUUCGGCGGUUGGGGAUGGACUCGCGGCUUAUCAGCUUGUUGGUGGGGUAGUGGCUUACCAAGGCUUUGGAGGGUAGCCGGCCUGGGAGGGUGAACGGCGACAUUGGGCCUGAGAUACGGCCCAGACUCCUACGGGAGGCAGCAGUGGGGAAUAUUGCACAAUGGGCGGAAGCCUGAUGCAGCAACGCCGCGUGCGGGAUGACGGCCUUCGGGUUGUAAACCGCUUUCGCCUGUGACGAAGCGUGAGUGACGGUAAUGGGUAAAGAAGCACCGGCUAACUACGUG
This 468-nucleotide ribosomal RNA is filed under the name uncultured bacterium. Its description in RNAcentral is "partial 16S ribosomal RNA". It matches the Rfam family "Bacterial small subunit ribosomal RNA", at positions 28 to 507 of the family's 1533-position model. The record is from RNAcentral.